Molecule: small nuclear RNA, 108 nt
Filed under: Microcebus murinus (gray mouse lemur)
Lineage: Eukaryota; Metazoa; Chordata; Mammalia; Primates; Cheirogaleidae
Source: RNAcentral
GUGGCUUCUCAGAGCAGCACAUAUACUAAAAUUGGAACGAUACAGAGAAGAUUAGAAUGGGCCCUGCGCAAGGAUGACACGCAAAUUCGUGAAGCAUUCCAUAUUUAA